GGCGCACGGGUGCGUAACACGUGGGCAACUGCCCUUGGAUGGGGAAUAACUCCGCGAAAGCGGAGCUAAUACCGCAUAACACUCCGGGAACCGUGGUUACCGGAAUCAAAGCCGUAAGGCGUCCGAGGAGGGGCCCGCGCCCGAUUAGGUAGUUGGUGAGGUAACGGCUCACCAAGCCAAUGAUCGGUAGCCGGUCUGAGAGGAUGGCCGGCCACACUGGAACUGAGACACGGUCCAGACUCCUACGGGAGGCAGCAGUGGGGAAUCUUGCGCAAUGGGCGAAAGCCUGACGCAGCGACGCCGCGUGGGGGAUGAAGCUUUUCGGAGUGUAAACCCCUUUCGACCGGGACGAAACGCCCGCAAGGGAAUUGACGGUACCGGUAGAAGAAGCCCCGGCUAACUACGUGCCAGCCGCCGCGG
RNAcentral lists this ribosomal RNA (420 nucleotides) under uncultured bacterium. Its description in RNAcentral is "bacterial SSU rRNA". It matches the Rfam family "Bacterial small subunit ribosomal RNA", at positions 97 to 520 of the family's 1533-position model. The record is from RNAcentral.